This is a non-coding RNA of Equus caballus (horse), 763 nucleotides long. The record is from RefSeq and is a predicted model, not a curated record. Lineage: Eukaryota; Metazoa; Chordata; Mammalia; Perissodactyla; Equidae.
CCCGCCCACAUCCCCGGUUCCGGUUGCCGCCCCGCGGUCGCCCGAGCCGCCACCCGGGUUUACCUUUUCGGCUCCUAGUUUCCCGGUUGUCGCUGGGCGUUGAUGGCAGCCGACCUGGACGGUUCUCCUCCUCCCCGAGGCGUCUCUGGAGUUGAGGGCGCCGCUCACUCGGCUGCAGAAGGCGCAGGCAGGUGAAGGACGCUGGGUCUGUCGCGAGAUGGCAGUGGAAUGUGGCGGAGAAACCAGCCGGGAGGGGAAGCAAACCUGGAGAAUAUGGAAGAUAGCCCUCUGAUGCCCAUGACUACCUUCAGAUUUGUUAUAACCCCCUUAUUUUAAAGGGAAUGCUAUAUAUCAAUGAGAAGGAACAAACUACAGCUGUAUGAACCAACAUAGAUGAACUUCACAAACUUAAAGAUUCCACUACUACCUGAAGCGAGCUGGGGUGAAGCAGCCUCCAAAAGUUUGGGCAGCUCUCCGCCGCUUAACAAAGUAAGCGCCAACUCUAUUCUUCAAGUUUAGCUCAAGGUGACUGCUUCAGUUAUGAGUGAUGGUGUUGGUUACGGAGGUAUACUCAGGUUAUGGAAAUCGACUGAGAUAUAUACUUAUGAUACGUGCAUUUCAAUAAAAAGUUCAACAACAACAAAAUAAAAGCUACAAUGCAAUACCACUACACAUUCAUCAGAAUGGCUAAAAAUGAAACAGCAGAAAAUACCAAGUUUUGGAAGAUUACCCCUGAGCUAACUGCUGCCAAUCCUCCUCUUUU